RNAcentral lists this unclassified non-coding RNA (201 nucleotides) under Hevea brasiliensis (rubber tree). Lineage: Eukaryota; Viridiplantae; Streptophyta; Magnoliopsida; Malpighiales; Euphorbiaceae. The record is from RNAcentral.
AAUGACUAUAACAUUAUGAAAGACAUAUGCAUGGAUGAGGGUGUACCUCUCAUGGAUAAAAUUGUGACUGAAAGCAGGAAAUAUGAUCAGCCUGACUCGUCUAUUUCUCUAGCUGCUGACGAACAUCAGCCUAGAAUCACAAGGGAAGGUGUCGACAGUGAAUUGGUCUCAUCUGGUGAGUCCAAAGCUUCAUCAGUUGAA